Molecule: long non-coding RNA, 2276 nt
Organism: Rhododendron vialii
Lineage: Eukaryota; Viridiplantae; Streptophyta; Magnoliopsida; Ericales; Ericaceae
Exons: 4
Source: RefSeq, a predicted model, not a curated record
AGAUAAGAGUGGUCGUUAAAUGAAUCACGUUCUUCCCCUCUCUCUCUCUCCCCCCUAGCAUCUCUGGCCCUUACCCCUUCCCCCCUCCCCAAAUUUGAGUAAAAACUCAAGAGUAUCCUCAAUGGCGAAACACAUCUUCUAAUCUGUUGUUUUUUAGAUAUCAAGGAAGAACGCUCGUUAAGGGCGAAGAGAGAGAUUUCUGUUCGAACAAACACACCGAGUUCUUCUGUCCGACCAGAUCAGACCCUUUUCUCUGCAACUUGGCAACUCCAGAAUCAAAAGUGGCUCUAGUUUACAGUUGGAUGAAUGACCAGUAGGAGCUCGUACGAGAGUUUGUUUGACUGCCCUAACUAUGGAAGAAUAUUCUACCAGUCCCUUGUAUCUACAUGAGCUCCCGUAAAAACUCAUGUAGAUAUAAGGGACUCACAGUCUAAGUUACGUGAAGCUGGAUUUGGAGCGAUGAGGACUGGUUAUCAAGAUAAUAAGACAAGAAAAAAGGAUUCAGGAUUUUCAAGUAUCACGAAAAUAAUUUGGAACAUUAUUCCGAAAAGGCAAGUUUCUCAAUCAUUUGAGUUUCUUUGGAUUGCGUAUGUGUAUUUUUCUAGUUAGUAACAAUUUCUUUUAGGUAGUGAUUGGACGAUGGUGUCGACUUCUCAGCACGAUGAGAUUGCUUUCGGAGGCUUUUUUCAAAUUCAUCUCAAGUCGUUCUACCUUGUAGCCACGAAGAUUAGAGAAAGAGAAGCUGAUUUUGGGUUAAUUGCGUUCUUUUUCUUAAGGUAAUAUUGCGGACAAUAAUUUGGUAGUAUGCCUUGCUGUGAUGAUGUAUUUCAAGAAAGAUCUUUGAAUGGUAAGCUUAGUGGAUUCUAGUUUUUGUUAUGGCAUAUAGAGUCAUUUUAUACUGGAUGUGGUAUUGCUGGUAGUUUGGAUGUAUUGGUGUAUGAUGUGGCAAUGUUUAGCUGAUUUACAAUCUGUACAUGUGUUAUUGCUAAUUUUAAAUAAUAAGAGUUUGAAAUAUUGAACUUGCUAGAAUUCUAGGUCUACAUUGCUCGAAUAGAUAGUCUAGUUACAUCGUGUUUCAGAAGGGAUGGGAAAAUAACUAAGCAAAGUAAACCACCAAAUCAUACCAACCAAUUUGAAAGGUUUCGGUUGGUUCUCCCUUUUUCAUGGUUUGGUUGUUUUUUGGGAUAUACUCCACAGUUCUUGUUUAGCGUCUCCUGAUUUGUUCAGAAAAUAUCUUUAUUUGAUGCUAUUUUUUCCCUUUAAUUUCGUGUAGUAAAGUUUUGACUUUCUGAAAAAGAUAUCUCAUUGGUUUCUUUUCAGAAAAUGGUCAGUUGGUCCUUGUCUGUCUCUGUGUUCCCUUCAUGCAGGUUGCAACCACUGUUGAUCAACCUUUAAUUUUGCUUGUUUUCUUGGUGUGCUCUAGGAUUUGUUUGAAGAACCUUGAAUGCAUUGUGGGUUAGAGAAACUUGACUCUGAUGAUUGUUUGAGUUUUGGUUCUGCUUUCUGUUAAGUUCAUCAUAAGUUGUAGGCUUGCUGGAAUCUGGAAUGUGAUAUUGAACGUGUGUUGUCCAAGAUUUGCCUUGUCAAUGACUUGUGGUAGUCUAACUUUAAGAUUUGCCUUGUCAAUGACUUGUGGUAUCUGACUUUAGCUUCUGUUCAAAUGCUUUAUGGUGGGUAUACACUUGUUUAAAGGGCCUCGUGACUCGUUUUUAGUUAACUAGACUUGUGGUUUUGGUUGAAGUAGAUAUCGUGGACUACUCAGUUUUGGUUAAGUACUCAGGCUCUUGGUUUUAGUUGAGAAAUGAAACCCCAGUGGUGCUAUCUAUGAGACUAUGACUAUGAUUUAUUUGUGCCCUUCUUAGUGUGCAGCUCAUCUUGGUAUAUAUUGUGAUUCUCUUUCCGUGGUGUUAAAUUGAUAUGAACUUUUUCAUGAAUGUGAGCUAUUGCUUCUCUAUACAACUGAUACUUCUUACAAUGUGGUGUUAAUCCUACUUACGAACUCAAUUUUUGAAUAGAUAGCAUAAACUUCUUGUGGAAUUUGUGAUAUUUGGGUCGUGCGAGUUGUGUUUUAUUUUCACGGCCGUUGUUCGCAAGCAGUUUCAUAUCUCUGUAUAAUAAACAGGUCAGCUUCAUGAAUUGUUUAGGCAACUUGUAUCCCUCCUAAGUUCCAAAUUUUAAUUUGCUGAGACACUUGAGACAAACCGGCCUUUGUAAUGUGACGAAGUUUCUCAGGUACUUGUAUUUUACUUGAUCGAUUCAUCUCCCCAAGAUCGCUC